AACGAACGCUGGCGGCAGGCUUAACACAUGCAAGUCGAACGAGAUGCUUUCCUUCGGGAAGGUUGACAGUGGCAGACGGGUGAGUAACACGUGGGAAUUUGCCCAGGAGUUCGGAACAACCCGGGGAAACUCGGGCUAAUACCGGAUACGCCCUUUGGGGGAAAGAUUUAUCGCUCCUGGAUAAGCCCGCGCCGGAUUAGCUUGUUGGUGAGGUAAAAGCUCACCAAGGCGACGAUCCGUAGCUGGUCUGAGAGGAUGAUCAGCCACACUGGGACUGAGACACGGCCCAGACUCCUACGGGAGGCAGCAGUGGGGAAUAUUGGACAAUGGGGGCAACCCUGAUCCAGCAAUGCCGCGUGUGUGAAGAAGGCCUGCGGGUUGUAAAGCACUUUCAGUAGAGAAGAAAAGCCUAGGGUUAAUACCCCUGAGUCUUUGACGUUUACCUACAGAAGAAGCUCCGGCUAACUCCGUGCCAG
RNAcentral lists this ribosomal RNA (476 nucleotides) under uncultured bacterium. RNAcentral's name for it is "bacterial SSU rRNA". It matches the Rfam family "Bacterial small subunit ribosomal RNA", at positions 29 to 511 of the family's 1533-position model. The record is from RNAcentral.